AACAGGAUUAGAUACCCUGGUAGUCCACGCUGUAAACGAUGUCGACUUGGAGGUUGUGCCCUUGAGGCGUGGCUUCCGGAGCUAACGCGUUAAGUCGACCGCCUGGGGAGUACGGCCGCAAGGUUAAAACUCAAAUGAAUUGACGGGGGCCCGCACAAGCGGUGGAGCAUGUGGUUUAAUUCGAUGCAACGCGAAGAACCUUACCUACUCUUGACAUCCAGAGAAUUUGCUAGAGAUAGCUUAGUGCCUUCGGGAACUCUGAGACAGGUGCUGCAUGGCUGUCGUCAGCUCGUGUUGUGAAAUGUUGGGUUAAGUCCCGCAACGAGCGCAACCCUUAUCCUUUGUUGCCAGCACGUAAUGGUGGGAACUCAAAGGAGACUGCCGGUGAUAAACCGGAGGAAGGUGGGGAUGACGUCAAGUCGUCAUGGCCCUUACGAGUAGGGCUACACACGUGCUACAAUGGCAUAUACAAAGAGAAGCGAACUCGCGAGAGCAAGGGGACCUCAUAAAGUAUGUCGUAGUCCGGAUUGGAGUCUGCAACUCGACUCCAUGAAGUCGGAAUCGCUAGUAAUCGUAGAUCAGAAUGCUACGGUGAAUACGUUCCCGGGCCUUGUACACACCGCCCGUCACACCAUGGGAGUGGGUUGCAAAAGAAGUAGGUAGCUUAACCUUCGGGAGGGCGCUUACCACUUUGUGAUUCAUGACUGGGGUGAAGUCGUAACAAGGUAACC
This 731-nucleotide ribosomal RNA is filed under the name uncultured bacterium. Its description in RNAcentral is "bacterial SSU rRNA". It matches the Rfam family "Bacterial small subunit ribosomal RNA", at positions 771 to 1501 of the family's 1533-position model. The record is from RNAcentral.